CUGGGUUUGAGCACUGGGUGCUUGUUGCCUUCCCAGCUUGGUGCCCUGGGUUGUCCCUGCAGCCUUGAAGCUCCCCUGGUGCUCUGUAUGGAAUAAUCAGGGCAAGUAGAAUUAUGCAAAAAAUAGGUGUUCAUUUUUUGUUAGCCCUAGCAGUAUUAUUAUUUUUAAUGAUCAGUUUAUUCCUGAUUAUUAGUGCUCUGUUCUCUUAGGCUGUGCCACUGUUUGUUUAAGGGACUACCUUGUGAUCCGUGAGGGAGGAGAAGUGCAUUGCACAGAACCUGACUUCAGUUUACACUGGUGGGAGUCAAAGAAAAGCGACCUUUUCUUUAGGCUUUUGGUGCAAUUGGCACGAAGAGUGAUAUUUGAAAACAUAGAAUGCUGCCUACAUGGUAUGAAAGGUGAUUCUGAGGUGUAUUUCCUUUGAAUUUGGCAGAAAGCAGCAUUUUUAUGCUGUCAGUUUGAGUGGGUCUCUUAAUGAACAGCUGUUCCUCACUGGCAGCAACCAGUUUCUUGUGGAUUAUUUCUGAAACAGCAAGAGACAGCAGCAGUCCUUUCUGUUACCCUUGACUAAAGGCUGCCUGUCAAAAUGUUUCUUUAGUCUCUCGUAGCGAGAAUUAGGAUAUUUUUCCCAGCUCAUGAGUAGCAGGUGAUUUCAAAGGAUUUCCCAGCCUGCUUUGGGUUUCCUCCUGAAAUUCUGAUUUGUGAAUUUUGUGAACAAAGAAAAGAAAUCUCUUUCAGGUCAGAUCAACAGAAACCUUUCUUUCAGGUGUUUAUCAGCUGAUAUCCCCACCUGGGCAAUGUUCCAGGAAGCAUCAGUGCUGUUCGGAAGGUCGAGGUGCCCAAUGCUGGUUAUCUGUUCUUUUUUCAUCCCUACCAAGCUCCUGAGUGUCUUCAGCAGCCAGAAUCAUUUUCAGUGCCUCCUCUUCAAGUUUCUCUGCUUCACUUUUCCUAUGUAUGCUCUACAUCUAAGGCAGUUUCUUUCUGCUAGUAGUUUCACAAUAUAGAUGAAAACUCCAGCAUAAUUAAAUAAACCAGUGCUGAAACCCCCCAAAGAACAAUUAUCUUUUCUGUGAAAUUGUCCCGGCAGAAAUCUUGGAAAACUUGCAUGUAAUUAGUACAUCGAGCCCCGCUGCAGAGCUAAGUGCAAUGCAUUAGGGCUUGUAGUGCUGACUUCUCUUGGACUCCAAUUGACCACUGAUAGCAAAUCUGUGGGCAACGUGCAGACUGACUGCUUUUAUGCAUUUACACAUGGUUAGUGUAAUGAUUUUUGAAGCUAUUUGAAGUUUACGCUACCCCGGUCUCCAUUAUGCUUGCUGAGCUGUUCUCCCCGUGUGCCCUCACCCUUUAAACAGCCUUCCUCUGGAUUCUGUGUCGGUGGGGGAAGGAAUGGUCUUGGAGCUGAGAGCGCCGGGCCAGAACUUGGCAGAACUGGAUUAACGGCACGGCUGGGCUGUAGGCUUCUGUGGAUGAAUCGCUUUGGCCCAGAUCUUAGGUGUCCAGGAACCCAAAGUGACAGACAGGGUUGUUCCAGGAUACGUGUACAUCCAGCCCGCGUUGAUUGGGAUUGCGUUAGGUGCCUAAAGGCAUCCCACAUUGCCUGACAAGAGAGGGGCCUGACCCAAGCUAUGAAGUCACUGGAAAGACAAAAGGAAAUUGGUGCCUUUAUAUUAGGUGCCUAUUGAACACGGAGCCAUCUUAUUUGUAAGCAAGGCUCGGGGAGAGCUCGAAGCCCUCUGUAAAGCCUGGCAGUGUUAAUGAUGGAGGAUGUUGGGCUGGCAGCUCUUGUACUUCCUAAAGGGAACGAUUUGCCAAGAGGGGUCACGGCCCUGGAAGCUGUUAGUUCUGUAACAGCAGGUUGAGUUGUCUUUUGUUCUUCCAAAUACUUCCAGUGCUUCCACGAUAGGGGAAAA
This is a long non-coding RNA of Oxyura jamaicensis (ruddy duck), 1910 nucleotides long. RefSeq lists it as uncharacterized. The transcript is spliced from 2 exons. Lineage: Eukaryota; Metazoa; Chordata; Aves; Anseriformes; Anatidae. The record is from RefSeq and is a predicted model, not a curated record.